RNAcentral lists this ribosomal RNA (935 nucleotides) under uncultured bacterium. Its description in RNAcentral is "bacterial SSU rRNA". It matches the Rfam family "Bacterial small subunit ribosomal RNA", at positions 61 to 986 of the family's 1533-position model. The record is from RNAcentral.
GUCGAGGGGCAUCGGGAGGAAAGCUUGCUUUCCUUGCCGGCGACCGGCGCACGGGUGAGUAACACGUAUGCAACCUGCCCUCUUCAGGGGGACAACCUUCCGAAAGGGAGGCUAAUCCCGCGUAUAUCGGUUUCGGGCAUCCGAGAUCGAGGAAAGAUUCAUCGGAAGGGGAUGGGCAUGCGGCGCAUUAGCUUGACGGCGGGGUAACGGCCCACCGUGGCGACGAUGCGUAGGGGUUCUGAGAGGAAGGUCCCCCACACUGGUACUGAGACACGGACCAGACUCCUACGGGAGGCAGCAGUGAGGAAUAUUGGUCAAUGGGAGAGAUCCUGAACCAGCCAAGCCGCGUGAGGGAAGACGGCCCUAUGGGUUGUAAACCUCUUUUGUCGGAGAACAAAACCCGGGACGUGUCCCGGACUGCGUGUAUCCGAAGAAAAAGCAUCGGCUAACUCCGUGCCAGCAGCCGCGGUAAUACGGAGGAUGCGAGCGUUAUCCGGAUUUAUUGGGUUUAAAGGGUGCGUAGGCGGUCCGUUAAGUCAGCGGUAAAAUUGCGGGGCUCAACCCCGUCGAGCCGUUGAAACUGGCAGACUUGAGUUGGCGAGAAGUACGCGGAAUGCGCGGUGUAGCGGUGAAAUGCAUAGAUAUCGCGCAGAACUCCGAUUGCGAAGGCAGCGUACCGGCGCCAGACUGACGCUGAGGCACGAAAGCGUGGGGAUCGAACAGGAUUAGAUACCCUGGUAGUCCACGCAGUAAACGAUGAAUGCUGGUUGUCCGGGUCGAAUGAGAUCUGGGCGACGAAGCGAAAGCGAUAAGCAUUCCACCUGGGGAGUACGCCGGCAACGGUGAAACUCAAAGGAAUUGACGGGGGCCCGCACAAGCGGAGGAACAUGUGGUUUAAUUCGAUGAUACGCGAGGAACCUUACCCGGGCUCAAAC